UCCUUCUCUUACCGUUAAAUGUUUUUAGUACCGAUUUAUACGAUGGGCAUAAAUGUUGAGGAUCCUCAAAUAUCGAACGGUGUGUUCUGGAACAUUUCACCUCUAGCACCGACGAAACAAUUCCACUUACCGGUAUCCGGGUGAUAAGAUAGUAUUUUAUUUAUCCCAGAGGCAAUUCCGGGCAGCUCGAAAGAGAAGCUCAAAAAUACAACAACAUAUUCAUAUCCGCCAAACAGACUCAUACAUUCAUGAUUCAGACAGUUUUAUUCAUUUGCACAGGGUAACAGCUUGGGCUGUUUGAAGGUUCCUUUUUAAAAAUUAUUUUGAUGUUGUUUUGUGAGUGGACUGAGUAGAUUAAGCUGUGAAAUGCGCUGUAGUAUUAUUGUUAGUAUGUCAAGAUAUGAAUGCGGUCAGUCCUGCUAACAAAAGACCUUUCAACUGUGUCUGCUAAACAACAUCCUGGAACAGGUUGGAAAACAUCCGGGAGAUUAUAGUUUGAGGUCAAUGUACGAAACUAGUUGAGUAAAUUUAUUUAUGAACUUCUUUCUGAGUUUUCACAAAAUUUGUAGCACCCACUGUAAACUUCCUAGCAAUAACCGCAUAGCAGUAUAGCAGCACAACUGAGAAGUGAGUCUGUGACCAGCCUGGAUGGUAAUAACGUGGGUGAAAUACGAUGGGUAUAAAUGUUGAGGACUCUCUAGGUUUCGAACAGUUUGUUCAUUGUCGUGUGACCUGCUCUGACAUGUUUCACAUACUACAUCGAGGAAAUAAUUCCACUUUCCGGUUGCCAUAAAGUCGUGUCCUGGUGAUCUUUGGCUUCUCGCGCCAUGUGCGCAUCCGCGUGCGACCCUGCGCUGGCAAACACUUCAUCAAACGAAACUCAGAGCAGACGAAAUUUUUCGGGUGAUUGGGAGGGAACACGACCAAGACCAAGACACCAUGGCCGAGCCUAACGAGGGAAAGACUGAAUGGCCAGAGCUGCAAGGCAAGAAAUAUGACGAGGCGGAGAAGGUCAUCAAGGAAGAAAACCCUUCCUUAGAGAUUCAGAAAGUUCUCCCUGGACAGCCAAUGUCUCGAGACUUCCGGCCGUCGCGCGUGCGCAUUCUGGUGGACGAGGAUGACGUAGUAACGCGGACGCCUUCCAUUGGCUAACCAAAACUCUUCAUAGAUGCCUGUUGAGAAAGACCCUGGUCAGCAAGUAAACAAACCGUUGUCGAUAUAAACAACACAUUCUUUUAUGCGCAGAAGCUAUGUGGCUGAAGUUUCUUGGAUACAAAUAUCCCGUUGUACGUAGAUAUCAAUAAGUAAAGUGAAUAAUUAGCUCUGACCAUCUCUUGAUGGACCGCAAAUAUGUGAAGGAAGUAUAGACAGAGUGAUGAGAGUGUUAUAGUUACAUAAGCCCCUGUGGUCUAUUGCAAUAUUAUUGAAGCAGCAUUAACAUCGACGGUUUCUUGUUUGUGUCAGCUGAUUUUUUUUUUGCAACCUUCGCCUGAAACCAUUCCAGACCCAUGCCACAGAUACGCAGAUAGCGGCAGUCUUCACACAGAAGCAUAAGCAUGUAGGACUUUCAUUGGAUGAUUUGUUUUUAGGGACUUUGUUUUGAGGCGCCACAACUUGACCGUUGCUCUGCUUUUUACCCACUGUCCUCUAAAAUGUUUAUCUUUGUUAUUGUCGCUAUUUUUACUACUAGUGUGUAACAAAAAAUAUAACCACCGAUAUGGCAUUAAUCAAACACCACUACUUCGUUAUCGCACCAAAUUAAUAAUGUGUGUCCAAAAUGGGGUCUCGAUAUCAAUAGGGUUUCUUAACAUUUUUUGUCAAUUCAUUUAUUUGUAUUUUUAACAAUCGUAUUUGUAGGAAAUAAAUGCUUCAAUGCAA
Molecule: long non-coding RNA, 1878 nt
Organism: Pomacea canaliculata
Lineage: Eukaryota; Metazoa; Mollusca; Gastropoda; Architaenioglossa; Ampullariidae
Exons: 4
Source: RefSeq, a predicted model, not a curated record